AGAGUUUGAUCAUGGCUCAGAACGAACGCUGGCGGCGUGGAUAAGACAUGCAAGUCGAACGAGACUUUUCGUUGUAGCAAUACGAUGGAAAGUUUAGUGGCGAACGGGUGCUUAACACGUGGGCAACCUGCCAUGAAGUGGGGGAUAGCUCGCCGAAAGGCGAAUUAAUACCGCAUGUGAUUAGAGAGGACAUCCUUUCAAAAUUAAAGUCGGGGCAACCUGACGCUUCUUGUGGGGCCCGCGGCCUAUCAGCUAGUUGGUGAGGUAACGGCUCACCAAGGCUUUGACGGGUAGCUGGUCUGAGAGGACGACCAGCCACACUGGGACUGAGACACGGCCCAGACACCUACGGGUGGCAGCAGUCGAGAAUUUUUGACAAUGGGGGAAACCCUGAUCGAGCGACGCCGCGUGGAGGAUGAAGGUCUUCGGAUUGUAAACUCCUGUCAUUUGGGAACAAGGUGCACACGUUAACUGCGUGCGUAUUGAUAGUACCAGAAGAGGAAGAGACGGCUAACUCUGUGCCAGCAGCCGCGGUAAUACAGAGGUCUCAAGCGUUGUUCGGAUUCAUUGGGCGUAAAGGGUGCGUAGGCGGCGCGGUAAGUCGGGUGUGAAAUCUCGGAGCUUAACUCCGAAACUGCAUUCGAUACUGCCGUGCUUGAGGACUGGAGAGGAGACUGGAAUUUACGGUGUAGCGGUGAAAUGCGUAGAUAUCGUAAGGAAGACCAGUGGCGAAGGCGGGUCUCUGGACAGUUCCUGACGCUGAGGCACGAAGGUCAGGGGAGCAAACGGGAUUAGAUACCCCAGUAGUCC
Molecule: ribosomal RNA, 810 nt
Filed under: uncultured bacterium
Lineage: Bacteria
Description: bacterial SSU rRNA
Rfam family: Bacterial small subunit ribosomal RNA
Source: RNAcentral